Molecule: ribosomal RNA, 428 nt
Filed under: Reticulitermes flavipes (eastern subterranean termite)
Lineage: Eukaryota; Metazoa; Arthropoda; Insecta; Blattodea; Rhinotermitidae
Description: partial 16S ribosomal RNA
Rfam family: Archaeal large subunit ribosomal RNA (bases 1-214)
Source: RNAcentral
CGCCUGUUUAUCAAAAACAUCUCUUCUCGUUAGUUUUUGAAGUAUGGCCUGCCCACUGACCUUGAAUGUUGAAGGGCCGCGGUAUUUUGACCGUGCAAAGGUAGCAUAGUCAUUAGUUCUUUAAUUGUGAUCUGGUAUGAAUGGCUUGACGAGGUAUAAGCUGUCUUAAUUUUGAAUUGUUUAUUGAAUUUGGUCUUUGAGUUAAAAUUCUUAGAUGUUUUUAUGGGACGAGAAGACCCUAUAGAGUUUAACAUUUAUUAUGGUCUUUUUCUGUUUGUGAGGGUUCACUAGGGCUGUUUAAUAUGUUUUGUUGGGGUGAUGGGAGGGAUAUUAUUUAACCCCUCCUUUGUGUUGUUAUAUUUAUUUAUAUUUGCUUGAUCCAUUUAUUUUGAUUGUAAGAUUAAAUUACCUUAGGGAUAACAGCGUAA